This 27098-nucleotide long non-coding RNA is filed under the name Gallus gallus (chicken). Lineage: Eukaryota; Metazoa; Chordata; Aves; Galliformes; Phasianidae. The record is from RNAcentral.
CGCCACCGCGCAGCGCCCGCCCUUCCACGGCGGCGGGGCGGAGCCGGGCGGGCAGAGGCAAUGCGCAUGGGCCCCGGUGCCGCACGGAGCCUUUCUCUGCGCCGGGGAGCGUGCUCGUAAGGGGGGUGUGUGCCGGUUGGAUGCGGUUCCCCCUCCCGGAGCGUCCUCCGGCGGCUCGGCGCCCGUCGCCUCUUCACCUGUCCGGACGGCGGCCAUGGCGGCGGCACGCGGCUGGUAGACGGCGGGGAGGGCCUCCGCUGCGGCGGGGCGAGGUGAGAGCGGGGCGGAACGCUGCGGGGAGGAGUGGGGGGUGGGGGGCUUUGUCAGCGCCGACGGCCGCGCUGCCUCUCGGGGCCGCGUCUGCUCCGCGCGGGGAGCGAAGGAACGGCUCCGCGCGGCUCCAUCUCCUGCCCGUGGGUUCCUGAGAUUAUUGUCCUUGAUUUGUUUUUUUUUCUCCCCUUUCCAUCGGGAAUCGGCGCGGUCGGUCCGCGCGUGCUCACCGUCGCGCGGCGCGGAGGCGGUGGGAAGGAGCGGAGCGGAGCGCAGCGCACAGCUGCACGCGCGGGGCUCCGUGCGCCGCUCCCCGGAGCGCAGAGCUGCGCCGCUGCCGCCCGCCUCGUGCCGGAGCCUCCGUUGUGCUCAGAGCCCUUUGUGCGGCGGGUGCGCGGCCCUUCAGAGCCGUUUAGAGCCCCCCCCGAUGCGGGGGGAUUCCCGCACGCACCGGGGCUGCCCGCGGACUGCAGGCGGUGUGCCUCGGGAAGGGCGUUGGGUGCGCGGGGUGCUCCGGGCUGGGUGGCCUCCCUGGUUGGCUCAGCGCUCCGUGCGGUGGGGAUGGCGAUGUUGGGUCUUCAAAGGGAGGACCCGUAGUGCUGUGGGUGAAUUGUGGCUUCAGCAAAAGGUCAGGUAUGCCUUGGAGCUUGGGAGCGUGUUCCCAGCUAGAUUGCUGGUUUCAUAGAGCUGUUUGAGUCAGAAGGGACACAAAGGCCGUCUGGUCCCAGUCCCCGCAAUGCACAGAGACACCCACAGCCCCAUCUGCUGCUCAGAGCCCCAUCCCUGACCAUGGCUGUCCGCAGGGAUGGGGCACUGCUGCCUGUGCCCGUGUGCCCCUGCCGCCCCAUCUCUUUCUCCGCAGUGAAUCUAUCUCAUAUCUCAGUCUUCUGCUCCAUACCGGAUUGAUGGCUUUCUAAUUACAAGGGGGUGAUAGGAUCAAAUCAUCUUUUGUUGUGCUUCUGUACUUUCCACAUGAGGUAGUGCAGAAAACAGCACUUUGGACAGAGACUUGGACGGCCUCUGCUGUGGGUGGGAGUCCCACUUUGUGGUGUUGGCCAAUACUGUCACUGGGAAGAAUGCAAUUCAUUGGAAUACAUGAAAAGGCAAGGAGGUACAACCUUAAAAUAUGCUAUUUCUUUUCAAGAAAGAGAGAUAAGAAUGGAGAGAUCCAAAAAUGGCACUCCUUUCAGCAUGGAGCAGGAUGGUGGAGCUUUGGAGACCACGAUAAGAGUAUCUGCCAAGUGUGGGAAUUCUGAGGGCACAGUUACCUUUUCCACAGAAUAGGGAUGAAUGCUCUACACAGACUUGUUUUGUGUCAUGCAAUUUCUUUCCUGCUGCACAGAUGUCUCCUCAUUGUAGUUUAGCAAAAUUAGGUUAGGCUUGACUGAACAAUUUAUUUUGACUGGCAAGUAAAUUAUUAUAUGUUCUUUAUGAGAAAGAGCAAGCAAAUUGUUCUUGUGAUUGGAAUGAUUUGUUUUCAUGAGGCUUACCAAAGGUAUUAUGGAGUAUCAGAGCGUGCACCCUUCUAUGUCUGAUGGUUUUAUGAAGUUUAAAUGCACUGGAGCCAUCCGGGGGAAACAUUUUAUUGCUUUGAGGACGUUGAGCUAAUGGGAAAUAGGAAAAUGGAGAGGCUCUGAUGUGCUCCUUGUUACCCCUAUUAUUUGGGGGAUACAAUGGAACUGAAAGUAUUAAUAUGAAAUUAAUAAUGUACAGAAAUAGUAGUUCAUUGCCAGAAGCAAAUGGCUGUUAAAUAGUUCAGCCUGUAAUCUUGAUGUGGGAUUUGUUUAUUCAAGUAUGUUUGUCAAGUUUUUGGAGGUGCAAAGGGUAUCUGAGGCAGGCCAGCAAAACUGCCAUUGAGGGGAUGGAUUUUCUAGGGUUGUAUGUUUGUUUGAAGCUGAAUGUUGCAGUGUUGUUGUGUAUCUUUAUGGUAGACUGGGAGGUAUCCAUAUCCCAGUUCUGAACGUUCUGUUUUCCUGCAGCCCAAGUUGGGGAAGUACAGUGAUGUCAUUGAGUUUUCCUUCUGGAAAAGAAACGUUACUUUACCAUUUAAAUGCAUUGUUUGCAUGCAGCUUCUGCUCCUGCUGUGGGGACGAUUCCAGUCAACUUCCCCCAUUUCCAAACAAACAGGUCAGGCACAGUGCUGUUUUCAUGCACACAUUCCAUGUGGUUUUUGGGAUCUCAGUACACCUAUUUCCAAAAAUAGGAGUGUUUUUCCUAUUUUAUUAUGGCUAGAGGUGUUUGUGUAAAUGACAAAGAUUGCUGUGGGUUCCCUUGGCCUUUGCUUCCUCCUUCCUACAGACGAGAGGAAGAUGUUGGCCUCUGCGUGAACUGGGCGAUUAUUUUGCUUUGCAUUUCCUCUUAGCACGGUCUCAUCAAUGAUGCUAUUGUCUCACAGCUGUUGGCUCCAUCCCAUUUUGGGUGAUCCCGGGGUACGGGGCGGGGGGAGAUACAAAGAAACGUGGGGAAAUCUGGAAGUUUUGCAUACGGACGCCUGGGCUGAUUGCUCUCCUGGGCUGUGCCGCGGCUGCUGUCGGGUGCCCGUGGGCACAGCUCCAUUCCGCGCAGUACGGUGCCUCGGCCUGGUACUGCUGAUGGAGGGGUUCUGUGCGCAGGGCAGAGCUGAGCUCGUUCUCCUCCCGUGCACGACUUGGAAGCUGUAAGGUGAGCACACGUGGUGCCUUCCGUACCUGCCUUGAAAGCUGUUCCGUGUCGCCGUUGCGAUUGCGGUGGCUGCCCCAGGGCCGUCUGUAAUGCCGUAAUGUGAACGGAACAAACGACAGUGUUUCUCAACUUAGAACAUCAGCAGCUAUUUUCGCUGGGGGGGAAAAAAAAAAUAAGUCAAUUUAGUACCUGGGGUGAAGCAGGUCCUCCGGUCCGGCCGGUCUGAGGAUGUUAAUUUUCAUAGCGAUUGCCAUUGUGAUGCUAAUAUCGGAGCUGUCUGGCUGUGCGCCCUGAGCCAAAGGCACGGGGGAUGUGCGUGCCGUGGGCACUAAGGAGAAGCAUCUUAUUACCAGCCAGCUAUUGUUGUGGAAAUGAGGUCUUCCAGCCAACCAGCGCUUGGAGGAUGGCAUAACCCGAGGAGGUCCAGCUGCAGGUCAGCAGUCACCGCCUUAUUUCGAGCUUGUCUGGUUGAAACUGUUUCUUUUCAGUGUUAGUUUUGCGUGUGUUUGUUUUUAACUCAUAGCUGGAAACAAAUUGCUGUCAUUGAACAGUUAAGGCUGGGAAACUUGAGGGCAUUUCAAUUUAUUGUGUUGGGUGGGAAGUGUAGGAAGGCAGAGGAGCUGUCAGUCUGUCGAUGCAGUGAUGUGAAUUCUGCUUUUCUUGCCGACUUGCUGUGCUUCUCUGCCACUUCUUCUGCAUUGCCUCCGUUCUAUCUAUGCAAAACACUCCAGAUGUGCAGAUGAUGUGGCACUCCACGUGCAUGUGCCACUUGGAAACAGGUAAAAUCAGGCUUACUCAGGGCGUGUAUUUAAGUCCCAGAAACUGUUUUAGAAACUCUAAGUAAUGGAAAAGUCUGAGGGCUCCAGGUGCUUUGUGGCAGAUAACGCAUGCUGUGACUGGACUUGGAUCUCCUCCUGUGAGGGUUCCUGCUGACCUCUGCCAUACACAUACAGUGUGGGCUGGGGCUGCUUCUGAGCACAUUACAAAGCAUUGGUGUAUUCCAGUUAUUUGGUGCUUUCUGUUCCUGGAGUCUGUACGUAUACUUGAUUGCUGUGUCUGUGUGUUCAUAGCAUCGCGUUAUUUGGAAGUGGCUAAAUUAAUUAAAAACUGCCAUUUGAAGUAUUUAGUAAAUUGGAUUUGCUUUCCCAGCAGUGGACAGGAAGUUAAUCGUGUCUAAGCUGAUGUUGACUUCUGCAAUCUGAUUUUCCCUGCAAAGAAACUUUAUUACCUAGUUGUUAAAUGCACACUUAAUUAGGCGUUGAUUGUUUAAGCUGAUAAACCAAUGCUACCAGGUUUGCUGUAAUCAGUUUGGUAAAUAUGCCAUGCAUACACUUCCUUAUGUUUUGUUUUUUAAUGAAGCACAAUGUUAGCUACCUUCAUUCUAAUUAUUUGAGUAUAUUUUGAUUUAUUGUUUUUCAGGUGAUGAUUAUGACGUUGAGCUGUUGGCAUGCACUGGAUGUUCUCUUGCUGUUUACUGACACAUGUAAAUCUGGGUUUUAUAGCCUCAUCUGUGGAUGUUAUAACAGCAUGGCUCCACUGCCCCUCUUAUAACCCAUAGCUUAGGAGAAAGGUACAUCCAGAUCUCCUCCUUUGAAGGAGCCCAUGCUCAGUUUGUUUUGUUUUCAUAGCCAAAUUGCAGCCUUUGGAGCAAAUCCUGUUGCUGUAGCUUGAAGUCUCCAGCUGAAGGGACAGUUCAGCAUUAAUUGCCGAUCAAUGAUUCAUUCAUCCUCUUGUCAUCUUAAUUGCUCUCUCUGAGGAAGAAUAGAAAAAAAAUGAAUUGAUUUAAGUGGGAAGCCCAUCCUUCUGAGUCUGUGCUAUAGUGUGGUAAGAAGUAUGAUUUAGUGGCUCAAUCCUCAGCGGAGCUUUGUGGUGUCUUUAGAUGGAGCUCUCUGCCACAUCCCCUUUGUGCCCAUCCCCUGGCACUGCUGCUUUGGCUUCACUGAGUCCUCUCUGGAAGCUGCAGUGCUUCCCCUCCAUCUCCUCCCAGAGUGCCCCUUCUUUUGCCUUUCCAGACCUCAGCCUUCCAUCUUUAUGGAUGGAAAAGCAUUGAUUUGGAGUAUGCAUUAAUAACCCUUUUAAGAAUUAGAGGAAAAACUGGGUUUAAUUCAUUAAACCAGGAUGAUAAGUAGUUUGAGCCUGCCUUUAUGGGGAUUUCAGGAUAAAAUGAAGUGCUUUAACAUCCCUGAGGUUUUUUGUUGGAUGCAGGGUCUCUUGGUCAGCCACAGCCUGAGAUAUGGCCCUGGAUUUCUGUCUGUGGGUUUGCAAUGUGAGUGUCACAGAACGGAGCGCAGUGUGUGGAUAAACUCACUGUGAUGGUUCAGGUUUAUCUUGUGUGCUUCUGUUUACUUCUAAGGAGGCUUUAUACCAGAUCAGCAAACUGUCAGUGCUGUGUUAUUCUUGGUUUGGUCUUUUACUGGCUCUUAUUCCUUGCACAAAGCAGGCGAACGCUUCUUCCAGACAAAGUGUGCUCAUGGGACGUCCCAUAAUGUGAAUCGAACCCGUGUUGUUGGGUAAUUCAGCAGCACAGAUGUGGUGCUAUUCCCACAGCCAUAAUCCCACAGUGCAGAACAGAGAAGGUGACAGUGAUGUAAUGACUGCUGGUGAGUUGCUUUUAAGAUGCAGGGACGGAAGGUGGUGUUCUAAAAGCUUUGUCAUCCCUUACUGGCAGAUUGAGAUAAUCAGUAGUGCUCAAAAUAACUGUCAGGAAGGUGCUGCGUUCUUAUAACUCACUUGAGAAUUCCUAUUUCUUCAAGAAAACCGUGUUUAAUGUUUUGUGUAUCUCAUUACCUGAGUUAUGCUUAGCAGUGGCUAAAGAAGUGUCUAUUAAAAUGAAGUCUUGCUUUUGCUUUGGUUACAAUGCUUGCUAGCAGUGGAUAGGUAUGCAUUCUGACCUCGGUAUUCAGAGUGUGCAAGGUGCAUGCAAGUGCUCUGGGGGGGGAAAUGAGAGGUACAGCCCUUUGUGUUGUGAAAGCAAUCUGGUGUCUUUUGGUGCUAAUGUGAGAGCAGAAGUGACAGCGGGAUUUGGAGAACUAAGGGGCCUGGCUUGAAUUCCUUGCAGCUGGAGAAACUGGAAUAUCCCGACUUGGAAGGGACCCUUAAGGGUCUUUGAGUCCAACUUGUAUGGAAGAAGGCAGCUAGAGAGCCCUUCUUUGAGCAUAGCUUUACUUAUUACAAGAGCCUUUGGGUGUUUGUUGGGAUUUACCCUUUUCCUCCUUCUUAUGAAUAUCUUCAUUGGACUUCAUAAUAGCCAGCUUAUGUGUUGUAGCCUGAAGGCGUGAUAUAUUAAACCAAAAGGGGGGAGGGAAGGGGAUAUCUUUUGUGAAUAGAGUUGCACGGGAAGCAUCUUCAGAGAGUAAAUUCCCAAUCCAAUAGGAACCAUUGAUUUGUAUUUCAGUUGCUACUUCCAGUGACUUGUCCUAUGGUUAUCAGCUCAUCCCUCACACCCUGGCUGUGUUAUAAGAAAGGCAGCAUUUGGGUGUUACUGUUUUCAAUGUGUAUACAUAUGUAUGUGUGUUACUUUAGAGCUGCUGACAGAUCUCACUUUUGCACUAAUAUAUAGAAUGUGUUCACUCAUCUGAACUCGUGAAUGAGUUUUAAUUUAAACGUAUCUGUCUUUUGACACAGUUUGUACAGCAGAGCGCAUUGAUUCUUCCUCACUUGUAGCCAUGUGCAGCGUGAUGUGUUUGCUGGAGGUCGGUUCAAUAGCUGACUGCAUCAGCAGUUGUAUUUCACAAGAAGUUCUGAUAAUUUAUUCCUGAAGUGCAAAUGAGAUUCUGUAGUCCUCCAGCUGAAUGAUGCAUAAGGCAGCUUCGUGUGGAAAGCGAGGUCCCUGCUAACUGCUGCAGCCCGUUUCAUUGAAGAAACAGGAACAAAAGUUUGUUUGUAACUCUGCUGGAGUGGAGAACAAAGGCUUUGGGGACCUUUGAACCUCUGUGGCUGUGCAUCUGAAGGAGGAAUUGUUCAGGAAUGGGAAAAACUGCCAGAAGAGCAGAGCUGUGCGUUCCCCUCCAUCUUCCUGCAGCAGGGUUUAAUGACCACAUUUAAAGGAAGAAAAGUAAUUAAUUGGAAGACUUCUUACUUGCUCUUCCUACCGAGCUCUGGUUUGAUUCCCAACCAUGCAGGGAUGGUUAUUCUAUCAGUUUUUGUUUUUACUUUGCAUUGAGCCAAGGUUUCUUUUAAUUACUAUUAUUUUUAAUGAUUGUAUUGGCUUCUUCCUUCUCGUUUCUUGCAGAAACCUCACUGGUUGAUUACAUACUCAGAUGUUUGCUUUUUUGGCUGUUGUUCCCCUGUGCAUGUUUGCAUCCUCUGCAAGUAAUUCUGGCCCAGGGAGCUCUUUGUUUCCCCUCUUUCUGACUGCACUCUCAUUCCACGAUUGCUUUUCACUCUGUGGUGGUCAUCUCUCCAAGGAAGACAGGAAGGAAUGAUCAGUGCUCUGAAGGAACUGCUCCUUCUGCAUGGUGUGCUGCCUGGCACUCUGCGGGUUGCAGUCUCCAUUGGUUCUGCAUGUGUGUUGCAUGGCUGGGUGGCAGCUGGAUUGAAGUUCAUUCUGAUUUUUGUGCUGUCUGUUCACUUUGCUUUGCAGUUGGCCCAAAUGGUGAGCUAUUGCAGACGUUUUCUGUUGCUUCUUAAAACUCUUGUCCUCUUUGCAGCCUUUGCUUGCAGUCUCUGUAAGGUUAGGCUGUGCUAAAGGGAAGCUCAACCUCGUGUCUUGCAGUGUGUGAAGCCUGGCUCCUCAGCGUGCUGCUGAGCUGUAUAACAGUUGUGCUGUACCUCUGAAGCUCCCUACAGCAUUAUAGGUGUUGCUUUACUUCUUGCUUCUCCCUCUGAUAGAUGCACAGCAAGCUGAACUACUCAAAUCACCUUUCAUUUUUAAUAAGAUUUCACUGUGCAAAGUGCUCUUUAUCUGAUACUUCAUCAGUUAUCCACGGAGCAGUUGUAAAGUGAGUAACAAAUCCAAUAGAUCCUGGGCCAUUCAGGUCCAUAGACAUGCUGUAUUAAUUUGUGGGUAAUGCAGCUGUCUGGAGUAGCACUGGGAGGCUUUCUGGGCACAUUCACCUACGUUACAGGGAAACCUUCCCUGCUUUCCAUCACUCAGCACAGGUACCCCUUGCAUUUCCUUUUGUCAAACACCAGGUUUAGGAGUGAAGCCAUGGUUAACUCUUCUGAUUAAAACAGGAAAUGCAAACGUAUAGAUUGGUGUUAUAGAAAACUUAAUUUGUCAGCUCUUAUCUCUGGAGGAUGUGUGUGGAGGAGGGCUGCCAUAUGGCUGCUAAAUAUAACACAACUUUCUCCUGCGAGCAUUCAGAAAAGUACAGAAGUUUGCAAUCUGCUAUCUGUGUUUUUAAUAGGAAAGUGCUGCAGAUUUUCAGAACCUUCUGAGUGCAAACUGAGGUGAUGGGAACGGAGCCAACAAGUAAUGUAAUAAAAUGCAAGCGUUUCCUGAGGAGGUGAUGCUGGCUGACAUAGGGGUGAGGUGCUCAGCAUCUUGCAGAUGCCCGUCCCUUUGUUAGCAGUUUCUGUAAAGCAAGGUGGUGAUGCAGGCUGGGUGAUGUCAGCUGUCAGUGCUCCCUGCCCUCUGGCUCCAAUAGCUGCCAUUCUUACUCGCUUUAAGCAUCUGCACUGUUACAUCCCUGCGCUGAGUGCUGGAGGACUUGGGCUCCUCCUGCAGCUGUUUGAACAGGGGAAGCACAGCUUGGGUGUGGGCAUCCCAGAUUUGUCUUCAAAAAAAGUUCUUGUUAAUUUACCCAGCUUUCGUGUUUGCUGGACGUGCUGCCAAGACACAGAUGAUUCCAUGUUUUAAGAACACAAAUGUAAUUGAAAUAUGGUCACGUUUCUAGUAAGUGAUUUAAUGUGUGGGUAUGUGUCCAUUUGGAGCUAAUGAAGCCCAGCAGUGCAUGUUCUGCAGCACAGUGUUUCUGCUUAGAUUUCAGCAGUGGACAUUUCUGAAAAGCCUUUUGCCUGUAUGUCAGUCAUGUUCUGGUGGGGAAAAGCCUAUGAAGAAAAGCAGAGCUCCAAAGCAAUCUAGAUGUAAUGACUUCUCCGUCCCUGUGCUUCUUCUGGAGCUUCAUGUAACAAACUGUAUAAUCUAAUAGCUAAGGAUGUGUUAUUCUGGGCAAGCUUUGACAGCUGAAGUGGAGAUUUAAUGAGUUUUGAAUGGAAACAACCAAAGUAGGUGCUGAAUUUCUGAUUUAGCCAUUCUGAAGUGCUUUGCUAAUGUUAGCAUGCGAGCAAUUCUAGGGCUGCACAUAGGAUAAAAGGUGCUGCUGAAAUAUCUGAUAGGAAGAGCUUAUCCUGGAAGGGAAUCAGAAGAGAAACUGUACUGGUUGUGUUCCUUAAGGCCCUUAGACUAUUUCAAAGGGAUGGGUAUAGUUUUACUGAUGGGGUUUUGGUGACUAAAAAUGCAGUCAGGCAAAUCCCAGCUUGUUGGGGCAGGGAGAGUUCCUUUGUGCACUUGAGUACAUGUGUGCUUUCACUGCUUUCUCUGUGAAGUUCAAUUGCAGGCAACAAAAAUGCACUUUGUUGUUCUUUAAUAAUAAAUAACAGCGCAGCAGUUUUGAUCUUCAAAGCACUGCUCAGACCUUAAUUAAUCUUCAUAAUAGCGCUUUGGGAGAAUUAAAAGUGCUCCCUGUGCUAUUGGAUGAGGAGCUCCUUAACCUGGAGAUGUGAGAGGGUUUGCUUGGGCUGUGUUGCAGUGGUGCUGGGAUGGUUGCUCUGAGGUUCCUGGCAGUGCUCCUCAAUUCUGUGCUGCUGCUCUCACGGAUGUGUUACAAUUUGCACAGAAAUCAUAAAGAAUUGCAGCAGUAACUUUCUUCUCUUUUUAUGCAUAGCUUUGAAUUGCCAUCCGAGUGUUACCACUUAUGCAUAUGCACGUUGGAAUUCCCCUUUGGAUGUUUCCAUAGGUACAACAUGGUGUAGGUUUGUGUGUGUGCAUGCCAAGAGCAGGGGUGCAGAACUGCACCUUAGAAAACCUGGCUCACAACUUUUUUAUUGCAGGAAUGGCAAAUAGAAGAAUAUACAGCCCUGGAUAGAAAGCAGCUCUGUCACCCUCCUCUAAUCUGCCUCGUUCUUUAUCAGGUUUAAAAUAAGGAGGAGGAAUUAAUACAGGUGCCCAGUUUUCAAAGCUUUUCAUAGGUAAUUGUUAAUUUGCAUUAAAGAGCACAUUCUGGUCUGAAUGCCUGUAGCAUACAUUUGGAGACUGCGGUAAGAGCAGCAGACCAAAACUGAGGCUGUCCAACUGAUCUGCAGAAACAGUCCAUAGAGCUUACCACGGAAAGGCAGCCAUCUCUCCAAACAGUCCUACAUGGAGCCAGUGUUCAUGGCUGUGUUAGAUUCUGGCAUGGCAGAACCAAGGACAGGCUGCUUAAUUCUGUUCCAAAAUGCAGAAUAGUUUUACAUGUCCAGGGAUGCUCCAAUAUAACGAGCAGCCCCUGAUUGGCGUUUCUGCAAUGAGCUCCAGCUUUGACAGCAGGCUCCGUAACUUCUGCUGGUGGUUGCACUCAAUUUGCAUGAGGAAUGAAUGUGGGCCUGUGUUGCAAAGCAGAACGUUGACAGCCGGUUAAACAAGUUUGAGGAGUUCUUAAGUACGAAGGGCAAAGUCAGCAGAAUCCCAUAACUGAUGCCAGAAAACUCUGUUAGACUUCACCUGGUGACCUCAUCAUCUCAGAGGAACGUGCUGACAGCAUGGUGCCCCAGCUCUGUUUGGGUGAUGGGCUUUCCAGCAUCCCCUGCUGUGGUCCAGGAGCUGCUCGUUAUUUGGUGCAUGCAUCCCAAGGGGGAAUCUGCACUCUUUUAGUUUCCUAGAAAUGCAAUGAGUUCAGCUGGCUGAGGGGUAGCUGUGAAUACUGAUUUGUUUUGAAUAGAGAAUGCAAAAUGUCCUCGGGAGGCUGUGAAGUUUUCAGGCUUCGGAGCUAUCAGGUUUUUGUGCUUUCAUAAACCCCAUAGAAAUUCUUAUUAGCAAAAAAAAAAAGUUUUGCAGCUGUGUUUUUCCUGUGUUAGGUUUAGGAGUUCCGUUCUUCUGGUUUUUUGAUAGGUAAAACCUUCAACGUGUGAGAACUGCAGUCUUGUAAUGUAUGAAAGGCAUCACCUCAAACCUUCUGCUGCCUCCUAUUUAAAUGCCUCACUGGGGACUGGAAGCACUGAAAUGUUCAGGCUGGUAAGUUGGGCAUCAACAGAUGAGUGGGGAAAAUGACUCGUGCACUGUAGUUUCUUACACAGAGUGGCCAAAAGGAAAUGUCUUGGUAACCAAAUACCCACAUUACUCUGCACCAUCUGGGUCUGAUAACGGCUAUGUGAAAUUUGAUGGGUUAAGCCUUCAGAAGAGCUCAGAUCUCAUCCCUUUCUGAGGAAUACGCUGCAAUAACACUUCUGCUUAAAAAUAACAUUUAAGGAUAUGAACUUGAAUACCUUUCACAAGUUUUAAAGCUCUUAAUACAAAUACAGUAACCUCAGUGAGAUGGUAAUGGAGGGGUGAGGGUUUUAUUAUGCCUGGAGCUCAUGUCUGAGCCUUUGUGCAUCCCCUGGGAAAGGCUUUUCUUCCUUCCUGGAAUGUGUUCCCGGUGUUGCCUUGCAGCAGACUCAGCUGGGAGUGGAGGGAAUGCAUUGUCACCUUAAAAUAAGGUAAAAUCCCAUUCUUGCUUAGUGUGGUGAGCAUUACUGAUGCUUAGUUACCCAGAAAGAUCUGUACAAUUCCAGAUGGCAGUACUUGAUGCAUUAAUGCCUAGGCAGGUUUAGGUAUAAGCAAAGCAUCAGCUUUGAAAUCUUCUAAUUCUGGCUUGAGAUUUGCCAGCAAGUUGUUAGACAAUGUUACUGUGUGAGUGGCUUGGCUGUGUAUGAAGGAUCUUUGUAAGACGUUGCUGUUUAUUUAAUAUUCCAAAGUGUCAUCAUAAGCAAUGUGUUCUCCUCCCAAGUGCUGCAUGCAUUAAAUCUAACCAAUCUACAUGGUUUUCAAAGGCCAACGCUUCUGAGUGAAACAUGCAAGAGAGAUGCAUGGAGUUUUUGGGUUGGUUCAGAAGAUCUGAGCUCAGCAUGUCUAACAAAUGAGUAACUCUAAGAACUCAGUGAGGCUGUUCUUGUCACUUAAGACUAUGGCAAGAAAAACCACCUUUGUUUUAAAGUGGAGAUAGCAUGUGGGUGCAUUAACUGCAGUCUUACGUCUGCAAGUGUCAAUGGUCCCAGUGGAAGAGGACCUGAAUGCCUUGUAGCAGCUGAACCUGUGUGCAGUGGGCUGACCUGGCUGCUGUUCGGAAGGUUGUCGUUCUUGCAUCACUGCUUCCAGCAAGGUGUGCUCCAUUUGUGUGGGGGAACGGGGAUAACGUGGAGCUUUAAUGAAUGCCUUUCAACUGCUGAUUUAUUAGGGUUGUUUCUGACUGACAUAUGGUAUGACAUACGGCGCUAUUUACCACCUCCGUGUCUGAACUGACAAGGAAAUGAUUUAUUUAUUUAUUUGACAUUUAACUCCAUUAAGUACUCAUAGGCAUCAUCCAGCAGUACCCUGGCCAAGUCAAUUUACAGUUUGCUUUUCUUUUGUUUAUCCCAUCUGCUUGUGAGUGUUUGUUUUCAUUGGCCGGGCGGGCUGAUGAGAAAUUGCUCUGUAGUAUGGAGUCAAGCGUUGUAUCUUCUUUCAAAGUCAUCCUGUUUCUCUCCAGAAUCAAGGAAAAUAAUGUGAAACGAGGCAUCUUAAAACCUGUGACAGCACCACAGCCUGCAGGGCUCUGGGCACAACUCCCAGCGCCGUAGCAGGAGCUGCUGGGUUUGCUGUCUUCCAGUGCUGCUGUGCAACCACUGCACUGAGGAUGCUCUUUGUCUUUAUUGCUGCUAUCUCAACAACUGCUUUAAGGAUUCUACUUAAGCAGAUGUGUGGCUGUGUAUACACAUGAAGGUAAGUGGAACAAAUGCUUGAGUAUGGGUUUGUACAGAGAGAGGUGAAGAAAGGUCUUGAUAUUAGUGAUGUAGAAGGGCUUGUGUUGGCAUUGCCCAGCUUCUAUGAGAUAGGCCAAUUUCUUCUGUGGAUUCUGCAGUUUUCCAGCAAGAGGAAAGCAGUGUGAAUGUACACAAACAGUUUGAGGAGUUCUCUUUGCUCUGAUUCUACUUUUCUCUUCCCCGUUCUCAUUGGGAACAGCCUGAUUGAAGUGUGGGCAUACAUUUCCAUUCAAGCUGUCAGAAUUUCUUGCUACCUGUCACACUUCCCUUCCAGUAGUCAGCUACCUUGUGAACAUUCAUGUUGAGAGAAAGCAAUUCGUGUUUUCCUUCCCCCUCGCUAGACACUGUUUUUAUUUCCUGCUCACAAAAGUAAUGCUUACUCUAAGCAAGUAAACUUAUUUAGGGUGUUAAAACAACUGCAUUUUCUUCUUACUGCAUAGGUGAUAGAUAAAUUGCAAGCAAAUAGCUUCUGGCUUCCAACAAUGUCCCAAAUUUCUCCUCUGUCCCAGUGAGAUGAGCUCAUUCUGGAAUGUUAAAUAUUGGUACUUUGAUGUAUUUAAUGCAAACUGUACAGAGCAUGUAAAGAGGGUUUGGUGUGGGGUUGUUGUUGCUUUUUGCCAUUGGAGUUAUUAGGCUUUCCAUGAUGUCAGGCUCUUUCUCACAACAGAGGAAGAUAUUUUCUAUUUAUAUGAAGCUUUGCAAAGAUGAAGAGGUUCAAAACUGAAAACUCUGCGUGUCAUUGAAAAUUCUCUUAACCUUUCCAUUAUAAAUCAUUUUAAUGUAGGUGUGUAUCUAAAGGGUAACACAAGGCAGGGAAGCAAAUGUAGGUGGUGUGGUCUGGUGUAAGCGCUUUCAUCCACGGGUUGACAAUGGAGCCCCAGGAUUUAGUGGGGAUAUUGCUUUAAGUAGAACCUCUGGUGCCAUAACACUGGUGAUGCAGUGACAUUAAUUUCUCUGUUCAUCACGAGGUUUCUAAUUCUGAAAUGGGUGUUGGUUGAGCCCUGAUUUCCUCAAACAGAACCUGAAGGUUGAAUUGGAACUUUGUCUUUUCUGAUGUUGUGAAAACGACCUGAAAGGUUAAAAAAAAAACAACCCAAAACAACACAGAGUUGUCAAAUUACUUUUCAUUAAGCAAACAAAAAAUGACCCCAAACCAAAAUACACACCCGCUUAUUUAGCCUGUGUUUUUUAGAAGCUCUCUUAGGUUGAUUUUGUUGUCUUUAAUAUAAAAGGGAGAUGAAAUGUCCAUGUUUUGGAAAUGGUGAUUAAUCCCUCUGAAGUGUCUUUAACAAACCCUGCUUUGUUUUUGAUGUCCAUCCUUUGGAGGAAGUGUUGGCAGAGCAGUUGAAGUUUUCCCUUCUUUUGAUGUCUGAGCGUCUGAGAUCUCUUCAAAAUCACUUUUACUUUCAAUAGUCCCAAGCACUGCUAUGGAACGACAUGAGCAGAGAAAGCAAAUGACUGAUGAGCGAGAUUUGCUCAAGGAUUUGUCACUUAGCCAAAAGAUAAAACUGGUUUUCCACCACUCGUGUUUCUGUACAGAUGCCCCAUGUCAGCCUAUGGGCUAUGAAAUCAAUCACAUGCCUGUAGUUGUGCAGAUCUGCUUGGCUUUAUUAUUGCCCUUAGCAAAGCUAAGGAUGCAGGUAUGUGAAGCACUUCUGUUGAAACCAUUUUAUUUUAUACCAGUUAAAAAAUAGAGGGCUGUAAAUGUACAGUGUAAAUUCUUUGGGGGGGGGGGGGGGGGGCAUAUGUGCAGUCCAGAGGGGAUGUUUGUUCUCUUUUAAGUGUGCUCCAAGGAGAGCAUGAAGGUAGGGCAGCAUUGCUGCCUGACUUCUUUCUGCAUCUGUGUGAGGGCUCAGUGUUCUCCUGCGUUUCAAGCUAGCCACAGUUCUAGUGCAGGCUUUUGUUUCUGAGCAGUAACACCCUGAGUUUGAGUGGUGUUUAAAUGUGAUGUGCCAAUAGAGGGUGUCUGUAGUUUUAAUUCUGUCGAUAAUAUAUUAUACACCACAGAUUUUCAGGGAUGGGGGUAUAGGAUGGAGCCUUUGACUCUCUUUUACCCAUGCUGUUUCUGACAGUUGAAAUGUUAUUGACCAAACACGUGUUUAUGUUUGUCCAGCAGGAAUAUACUUUUCCAUGAGACCUGCCACCUGUUCCAUUUCUUCUGCAUCUGUGGAUUUAUUUUGUUUCCUUCCGGGUGGACUUGCUCUUAUUUUUAAUGAGACCUGUAGUAGAUGAUUGAUAGCUUGCUUUCUUUAAAAUGCCUUCCACCAAUUCAUUAUGUAAUAUAAUGGCACUGGAAGCCUUGAUACAAAUACAAUUUAAAGCAACCUACUGCUAUGGGACCUCUUCCAUUUUUCCCUUUGAUAGACUUGCUGAGUAUUUGGCUGAUGCAGCUUCCAUUGCCAGCAGAGGAGUUUUUUAACUCUUCCUCCAACAGGUUUGAUGCAGUGCAGUGCUGUGACUGUGGUUGUGCUCUGGCAUGGCCAACGUGCAGUUUUAUUGCCAUGUAACAAUCUCCUCCUCUUUCAUAUUGUGUAGUUAUCAUAUUAAGCUGUGAUCCAUCAAGCUAGCUCAGCUGCAACAGGAGAUUAUCAUCUUCCCAGUGCUCCCUGCUGUCCCCUCAGGCCUGCUGCUCUUUGUGUGCACUUGUUGUCACUCCUUAACCCAAUUCUGCCAAAGUGCUCUAGGUUAGGAACGCAGUAGCAGUGGUGCUUAUUGUAACUGGAGCGACUUGAGAAGUCCAGGGAUGGAGCUGGAGCUGCUGCUGUGGCCUCAGGAACCAAAGCAGCAGUGAUACCAGGGAUGUUAGGAGUGACAUCAGUGAGGAUUGCGUUUGGUUUCAGGCUGUAUCCUGCAGCGGUGGUAGCUGUGCUCCUGCUGGCUUAAAAAUGGAUUUGAAGUUGUUCAGCUUCUAUGAAGAAACCAGCACCAAAAUCAGCAACAGGGGCAGUUAAGGGAUGUCCUCGUGCUGUGAUGGAGGUGAGACAGGAAAACUAGAGGGAAUCCAACCCCCAUCUCUCCUUACGGACAGAAGUUUGCUAACAGCUCUGGUCUUUGCUGUAUUAACUAAAGCAAUGUACAUCUUGUAUUUUGUAGUGAACUGGCUGAAGAAGUUAUGUUGUGACUGUGGAUGUCUGAGCAAUAUGUUGCCUUUUAAAACCAGCAUGGGUGCUUGUUGCAAAGCUAUCUCGAUUAACCUGCAUUUCAUGGCAGGGGAGCUACAAUUCCUUCAGCCUGCCAUCAUUCACCAUCCUGGAGAAGUGGAUGUUAACAGUCACUCUGGUUUAAGUACCACCUUUCCUCUGAUCUGGAGGGGCAGAGGUUAUUCAGGAGAGGAGACUUGAGCUUAGCAGAACAGUGUGAUGAGUGAAGUGCACUGCUGAACGUGGAUCUGGUUGGAAGCUCCUUGUGAAUAUGGGGCAAGAAAACUGUUCUGAAAUGGUUUUCCUCACAUUUUAAAGUAAAUUGCUUUAAGUGAUAGCCUCAGUCAUUGAAACGAUGGAAGACUGGGACUGAAGAUUGAAGGUUUCUCUAUCCGUGCUGGUUUUGCAGCUUGGUUGUUGGUUUUUGUCAUCCUUCUAAUAUUCAAGGUUAUCCCCUCUUACCACCCAUUGUCUUGACCAUCAUUCUGUUUUCUGCAAUCUUUGUGUCUCCUAACAAAGUAAAAGCUUGUUCAUUCCUCCCCAGCUUUGCUGUGAUUUGUGCUGUCUCCUGUGAUGUCACCUGUAGUGAAGAGUGCUCGAGUCCUGUGUUGUGCUGCUCAGAUCUUGGCUGUGAAGCUCUCUGCAAUGGUGACAAAUAGAGUUAAUCCCCUUUUACAAGUAGGCAGAAUGAACUUCCCUGAAGCUGAUUGUAAUCAGCCUUAGAUCUGGGCAAAAUACUUUUGAUCUGAGACCCUUCUCCAGUUAUUCAUCUGGUAGGCAACAGGGAGUACGUAUGGCCACCACCCUGACAUGCCACCCUGCACUAUGUGUGUGUGCAUCCAUUGGAUGGUGCUGAAGAUCUGUUCUGAGUUUCUGUUGACAGAGCCUUGGAAGUUGGUCCAUCCCUUCUCUUUAGUGUCACCAAUGCCUGGGCCACAGUGCUUGUUGCUUCCCCCUCCUUCCUUCUAUAUGAACCAAGUUUUGGUGCUUACAUUGUCUGGCCAUGCCUCUUUAAAUAUAGAUUAUUUUAUCUGACAAACCCUACGUUUUGGCUGCACCUUCAGGAGCUUGUGUGUCUGAGAGGAGGUCACCACUUGAGCGUGAGAAAAAGUGGUUGAUUGAAUUGCAAAAGAGCACACUUGUCUCUUUGGAUUCCUCUGAGCACAGCCGUACGUUACGUGUAAGGCUGCUCUGCAUUGGCCCCAUGCAUCUGGCAAGCACAAAUGGAAGCGGGCAGUACAGCCAGAGCAUUGUACUUGUUCUCCUUAGUGCUGUGUCCUGAAGGCUGGUGUGUGUUUAGAUUUCACUCGUUAUAUCAUGUUAAAUUUAAUCAAAUAUGUGGGGAGUAGCUUUCUGUAGCCCUUUUUAUGACAGUGUUUUUCAUGGCGUAGGAUUUUUCACCUUAUAUUCAUGUUGAAUAAUUCAUGGCAUUAAAAAGUUUACGGUGAGGCAGAAUCGUUUGUGCCCUGAAGCAAAUACACUAAAAAUGCAAACUUUGGAUCCCACCAGAGAUACAUUUCUGUUCAACACAUUGUAGUUGUGAUCCACGUUUCAUAAACGUUGCAGUGGAGAUGUCAGACCAAAGCAGCAGUGACACUUCAUGGUAUGUCAGUGCAAAGUGGUUGCCUCCAUUACAGAUGGAAGUAGAAGAACAUGUAUUAGAAUGGAACAAGGUACAAAGGUGGAAAUGUUUGUCACCAAUGUGUCUUGUUUCCCUGUGUUGUUUAAAUUGGAAGGUCUUUGACAGUCCCCAUCAUACUGUUACCCUUCAUUAGUACUCACUGGAGUUUAACAGCUCCAAAUACUUUGGUAUGCAAGAUGUGUAUUCCUUUCACUAAGACCAUCUGUUUUUUAAAUGCAGAAGUAGUGCUGUGUGCCUCAAAAACUUAACCUACAAAAUAAGCAGUAAGAUGGAGCCUCUGAAAAGGGUAUUUCUUCAAUGAAAACCCAAGGCUGGAAGUCAGACGUGGGUUAUAGUCUUGAAGUUAGUGCUGAAUUGCUUGUGAUUUUUGGGCAGCUCUUCUGUGGGUUGAUAACUUGACCCCACAAAAUGGAUGGGGCAGUGAAGGAUUGACCAAAAAAAGGAAGAAAACCCAACAUAUCACACUCAAACACAGAAAGGGAAAGAAUUAUACGGUUAAUUAGUGUAACAUUUGCAAAAGACAUGAGAGAUCGUUAGAAACAGGAUGCUUAACACUUGAAUACUGAGCAUUUCAAAACGACUUUCUCAUGUAGAUUUGAUGCUGACAUACACCCCCCUGGGCUGAAGAUGCUGUCAUUAACUGAGAGCUGAAGCUGUCGCUCUUUGCUAACCGGUGCUAAGUACACCGGUAACAACGCGUUGUCAAUGGCAGGAAGGUCUCUGAGCUCUUUGAUGUCUUGUUGCUUCUCUGAUCCAAGUGGAAUUCCCACAUAUUGCCUUAUGUGCGUCAGUUCCGUGGGCUCUUUGUGGGAGCCGGGCACCCUGUGGGUCUGAGUCCCCCCAUGGGUGCAGGGCAGUGCCCAGGCUGCGCCCCAACGGGACCAAAGACCCCUAAGUGGAAAUGGAGUUAUUUGGCUGUUUGUCUUUGAGGAUCUACGAGCAAGCUUGUUGGAUUAUAGUAAAACUGAACAACUUAACAGCUGUGCUGAGCUUGUGUGCAUAACCAGUUUCUCAGCAGCAGCUACCUUUAACUUUCCAAAGGCCUGAUUUCGAAGGCUGUCUCUAGUUAGCAUGCUCCUCCUUUUCCUUUCAUUGCAUGUCGAUGCGUUGGGUUAAGUAUCUUAUUUCAGCCUCUCGCUGGAUCCAACAGUCCUGUUGACAAAAGUGGAAAUCUUUCUGGAGGGCGGUACUGGAGCAGUGGAUGUGUUAAGCCUCUUGCUUUCCCCCCUCUGCCUGCAGUUUUAAUUCCAAAUCAGCAUCCUAUCCAAAUCUGCUAUUGCAUUUCGUUAAUCCUAAGAAGCUGGGGAUUUUUUUCUCUCCUCUAGAGGAAUUUUAAUUGUUUUUUUGGUAACACACAUGUAAAAAAGAAAUAAGAAAAAAAAUCCCUCUUCCUGCAGUGUGAGUUUGAAGCCAUUGCUAUUGUCAGCUCUCAGUGGGUUACUUGAGUAUAAAUAAAUUAAAGGUGGGGGGAGUGAUCUUUUGUUAACAGUGCAUUCUGCUUCUUGUGGCUGCUAUGGUAACAGAUGAGGGAGAGACAUGCUUGCAUGGUAAAGCUUAAUGGCAGAGCGGCAGAAUGUAGUGAGGAAUUUAGCUGGAGGAAGAAGGGAAGAGAGCCCAAAUCCUUUAGCAGCGCUGUGAAGUGAGUCACCGAUGAAGGCAGAUGGGAAAGGACUUCUACGUUUAUUUACAAAUGGUUUAAAUCAGGUUGUGUUGGUUAUAUUUAGAGCAGGUGGAGGGGCAGCUUUGGGGAGCAGUGAAUUAGGAGGUGCUGUUGUUGUUGUUGUUUCCUAAAUGGAACCCUGAAUGCCUUUCCUGACUCAGGACCUUGCCAACAAAAGUCAGCAUUCUGCCCCCAGCCUUCGGGGUUUCUGGAGCACAGAAUGUUUUCUGCAGGAACUUCACCUGAAGGUUUAGCACUGUGGAUGGUGUGCAAUGGCUCCCCAGGUUAGUAAACGCAUCACUGUCAGCAAACACAGCCACACAGUGUGACGUUCACAGCUGUGAAGUUUUAAAUGAUGCGGAGUAUUCAGAAGUGUGUGGGGGGAGGAGUGGGGAAGGGAAGCUGAGGGGAAGGGUUUGCAAGAACAAGUGAAAUGUAGGGUCUGUUUGGUGUGAGGAUGUUUAGGAGAAAGAGGGGCAGUAGGAUUGUUCUAUUAUUUUAGAGGAGAGGUGGAAAACGUGGGAGAAGGAUGAAGGAUGUUGCAUGAAGAGCAUUUUGGCCGUGCCAGAGGCUCAAAGAACCAAGCAGCACUUACCUGCUGCUCUGAAUGGGGGGGAAGUUGGUACUGUGAGUGCUACUUCCUUCUUUACAACUGGAGUGCUGGAGGAGGAAUUGAACAAGAUACAGAAGACAGAAAAAUGCCUUCUUUAUUUUAGAUGCUAUUGGACCAAAGUGCCCUUGUGCACCCUGGAGGGGCAUCCCAGCAUGGUGUGCUUUUGGAGAUGGCAGCUGCACCUCCCUAAGUUUGCAUCUAUGUUGUGCUUUUGUCAGGCAUGGAUUUCUUUAAGGAGGCAGGCCAACAUGACAUGUCUGUGUCAGAGCUUGGUGUUGGCUUUUUCAGUUCGUUUUGGUGUUACUCUUCCUGCCUGUAGUGGGAAGCACAGCGCCUGCACCUGCUUCAUGAGAGCAGAAAUGGAUGGUGGUUGGAAUGGGGUGGGAGAAGAAAAAAACAGUUUUUGUGCAUUCUCCAAAGCUGUGCAGUGUUGUAAAUGCCAGGAAGUUACAUUUGGGCUUUCAGUGUGUUCUGUGAGCUUGUUAAGAUCAGUACUCUGUCACUGCCAUGCAGGGAAUAUGCCCUUACUGUCCUCAAGAGUUUGCAAAAGAAGCCCACUUCUAUAAAGUGAUAGCUCUGUGGGACCGUAUCUAUCCUUUAUGAUUAUCACAACCUCUGGGGAGAGAUGGAGCAGCUCUAUAAAGGACCACUCAUUUCCAUUUCAGGACAGGCCUGGCAAAUAGGAUGUGAGAGAAAUUCCUUUGGGUCCUUUACAGCCUAAUUCUGGUGAAGAGAACAGCCUUAUUUUGCAGGCUUCCGUGGCCCUGCAGGAUAAGGCUGACAGACUUCUCUGUAGGUUUUUUUCCUACAAGCCAUCCAUGUGCCUGUACAUCUUUGUUAGCCUUGGAAAUAAACUUUUGUCAUCAUUUAAAGGAAAGCCCUAUGAAAUGAUGCUUUUCAAGCAGCGCUGUUGUGUAGGUGAUGGUAGCACCUUAGGUUAUUAAAACCAGUUUGCUGUUUCCUUUCUCAGUUUCAGUUGUGUGAAGGAUGUUUCAUCCCUAGGCACCUUUUCAUUUUCUGCUCCAUAAACCAACAUAACGCUGACCGGCUGAGUUGAACAAGAGGCACCUCAUUAAAGGUGAUGGUGAACUGAAGGUGGAGUUGGGGUUAUUUCCUUCCCUUGACAAAGUGGUCCCUCUUCCCUUAUGUGAUGGCUGUGGGAUGGACCACAGCCAUGUGCUAGUCCUGGCUGCAGGGCUAAGGAGUGAAACCAUGUGUUUGGAGGGCUGGAGUGAGGCAGAAGAUGGCAGCUGCUUGCAGCGUUAGUGUUAGAAGUGGUGUUUUACUGAGUGCUGCUGGGAGUGCUGUGAGAUAAGGGAGUUGUCUCCAUUUUGGAUUUGAAAGGGCAAAAGUAUAGGAAGGGGGAAAAGCUGUAUUCAUUUAAAGUCAGUGGGACGUAGAAAUGCUCAGUGGAGUCUUUUCUUAGCCAAACAAAAUGAGUCUAGUGGCUGCCAUAGCACAGGGCUCCUUCAGCUGCUGCAUGGGCUCUGCUUGGGUUUCUAGCAAGAGUCAUUUGGGUGUCAUUAUAAUGCUGGUAAUGAGCGGAACAAAGUGGUUCCCACAGAAUUUCUUCAGUUCUGAGUAAUUGUUCCAAACAAAAUCUACUGUCUUUUUUUUAAUCUGCCUCUGUUGGAAAGUGUCAUUUUGGACGUUUACUGCAGCACUUUGUGAUUCUGAUUUUUGGCUGUUGUUGUUGGAAUGAAGGCACAGCGCAGUGUGUGAUGGAUGCAGACUCAUUUGUUUUGAAGUUUGUUUGUAUUGACAGCUCAGUUCCAACUCUUUGGACUAAGAGACAUCUCCAGUUGGGUUUGGAUCUGUUGUAGUAGUGUGACUUGUUGGACUGUGGGUUUUGGCAGGCUUGGUGUCCUGCUGGCUGGAAGGAAAAGCUGCUGGUAAUGCAGAAUGAGGCAUUGUAUGGAAGAGAUGGAGGAUUGCCCACCAAUGGGUCAGCAGCCACCCAUGUGUUCUGAGGGUGCUGAGUCUCCCAGCUCUGUGCUGGUGCCCCUCAUGGAGUGCAGCACUCAGGGCAGCUCAUCCAGGGAUGGACACACAGCUGCUGUGUGCUGACAGCUCCGGGGUUGGAUGAGAGCAGCACAAAGCAAUACUCUGAAUCUUUUCAAAUCAUCUGAAAUGUGGCUGGACAACUCAAUGCCUUUAAUAGCCAUCUCUUCUACAGAAGGGCAGUGACUAUUUUUAGCUCCUUGCUGUCACUGACCUCUAAUACAAGAGAGACACUACAGAAAAAGCAUUCAUCACCAUAGUGUUACUGUUGCUCUCUAAGUACAAAGGUGAUUCCCAUUUACUUGGUUUUUGUGUAAUAUAGAAGCAUAGCUAAACACCUGGGAAGCCUUCUUACAAGAAGAGAAGCCUAGUAGCUGCAGGUAGCAGACUGGAGCUGUAGUAGAGAGGUGUACAUCAUAUGUGAGGCACAUAUCAUGUAUUAAUUUAUUUAUUAUCAAAGGGUGUGAUUAUUUACCAGGUGUUUUCCUGUGCUUAGCACAGAUUACAGUUGUGAUGCCCCGCAGAUGUCAUGUUACUCUCAGCAUAGAGUUGCUGACUGUCUCAGUGGUAUCGAAUAUGAAGAUGGAAGACAAGACUUCUUUCCCUUUGUAUGAAGGCUUAUUGCAUAUCUUUCACAAAAGAAAGACGGGGAGCAGCAGCAGUUUUCAUAAUGACUGAAUGACCUAACAUCCUUUUUAAAAGGCAACUUCAUUUCUUAAUGUAAAUUUCAUGCAUUUCUCGGAUAAAACACACUCACCAGUUCCUUAUAAUACCUCUAAUGAGGGCCAGAUGUGUUUUGUUGCUACAAAACUGAGGCCAUAAUGCAGAAAGGCACAUGCAGUGCAGCCCUUUGUAGCACAAAAGAAGUGUCUUGCUCAGACAGAAGAACAGAAGUUCUUCCAAGGCCUGAGUAUUGACUUGCAGUGAUAAUUUGCAGGUGACAUGCUAACAGGUAGCUUUGAUCCGUUAGCCUUUAUGCUGUUGUGCUUUGUUCAAUGGUGUGUUAAAAAUACCUGAAGGAAGGAGAGAGAGACGGAAAUAAUUUUAAGUCACUGAGCUGUGUGCUGUAGGAUGUCCUGGGCUGGGAAAAGGGUUCCUGCAUUGCUGCUCAUGGAUGGUGAGGGUGGAUAAAACUAUAGCUGGGCCUGCAAAGAAAACAAUAUGAGCAGUGGUGGGUUUGUAUUAUUUAUUUAUUCUAUGGGAAUUUGUAAUAUCAGCUGGCCUCUUGCUGGCUAAAGCUGGCCUGUAACUGGGCAGGCACUCGUCCCAGCAGCUGUGAGUCAGGAUGGCACUUGCAUCUUGGUGUUGUGCAGCUGUGGAGGAAAGCAGAUUGUACAGAAGUGCCUGAUCUGGCUUAGGAGUAACCCAUGAGCAUGUUAGGAGUAACCCAAAGAGAUGCUGCUGGUCAUCUCUUUGGACUUAAGUUCCUGUUUGGCCUCCCCUCUGCCAGCUGCUCUUGCAUCUCCCUGUCGGCUCUCAGCUAACCCAGUGCAACUAUUUCUGGAAAUAUGCAAUGAACUGGUUCAGUGAGCAGCAAAAAUAACCACUGCGGGGAAAGAAGGCGGGGGGCCUUAAUUUUCAACCUGGUUUAUUUCAUUGCCUGGAUUAUCUUUGUGGCCGAGAUAAGGAACUGCACCUCUAUGGGCAUUUCUACACAACAGAGCUGUCUGACUGGGAUAACGCAUUUAGAAGGCUGUGAUGCUCCCACGUAGAGUGGUGGUAUGGACUGUGAUGCAAACUGUUAGUCAAUGGGAAUGAUAGAAAAGAAGCAUCUGUUUAUACACACACACACACGAGGGCAGUUUGCUGCUGCCAUGCUGAGCUCUGAGUGUGCCUUUCCUUCCUGUGCUCGCUGCUGUUGGAGGGGCAGCUCCUUCUGGAGGUGUGCAGAUGAGGUGGGAGGGCUGUGAUUAAAAGGAGCAUCUCUGCAUCUGUGGGUGCACGGAAUGUAAACCAUUCAGGUGUGCUUCUGAGAGUCACGCUGGCUUUUUGGCUCGCUUGCCAGUUGUGCAGAAGUCAAAGUUAUCUUUUGAAUGAGAUUCAUCUCAAGUGAAUGGGUUUGUUGUUUUUUUUUUCAUCGCUGAAGUUAUCAGAGACUCCUCAGAAAGCUGAUCCGAUGUAUGAGUGCCUGUAAGCCCUUCAGCACCAGAUGAAAUGCUCUCUGAGAAGGCAGCUCUCUGUUGCCUUGGGGGUCUGGCUUGAUGGAUUGCAUCUGGGGACUGAAAUGUCACGCUGAUGCUUUCUUCAGGCAGUGACAAUGGCUUGCAUGUUGUCACUGUGCACUGCGGUCGUGCAUUAAGCCUACUGCAGCCCUUGUAAUACCGAGGGAGAAAUGGUCAGACUGCUGGAGCAACAUGAGGGUUUGUUAAGACCUGCAUCUCUAUGGCUGGGAAUCACUGUGCCUUUCCAAGGGGAGCCCUGCAGGGUGGGCAUGCAGAGCUCGGAGGUGUUCUGCUGCAGAGGCAGCUCCCAUGGUGGACUGCUGUUGUGUUCUCAGCAGGCUUUGAGUGCUAUAUUGGUGUUCUUUGAGGUAUGUUUUCUUUGAGUAACUUUCCCCAGACUCUCCUUGCCUACCCCCAGAACAGACUGUUUAUUUUUGGAGGAACACCUGUAUGCAUAGGAGCAUGGAGGCAUCAAUAUUGUCAUAGUAACCAGAACAGCAGUGCUGGCUUCCAGCCAGAAGGUAGGGUGAAUCACGGCCCGAAUGUGGGUGUUUGGAAAUGACUUCACUUCUGAGCCUUCUGCAGUUGAAUGAAGGAGUGUUUGUGUUUGGUUUGUGUUGUUUUCCUCUCUCCUUUCCCCUGGGGAGGUAUUUUGAAUGUUGUAAUUCCCUACAGAUCCAUUUUUACUUCUGCCAUUUCAUAGGUAGGAAGGAUGCUCUCAAACUGUGCCCCGCAUCUGAGCAGUAAAUACAGCUCUGCACGGUGAAUGUUUCUAUUGGCUUCAUUUCAGCUUAGCUGUAAAUUCAAAAAUAUGAAACCUGUGCAUGGAGUUUUGAAAUGCAGCAAUUUGACUUAAUUGUGGUUGAGUUUGAGAGCAGGUUUGGAUACAGUGUGUGUGUGAAUGCAGUCUCUGUGUGGGACAGAAGAAUGUGAUAAUUGCAGAUCAGGGUUUUCUAAGCAUGGCUUCAGUUUCUAUAAAUUCUGUUUGUGCCUGUGCUGAAAUCGUGUGUUUGUAUAUUGAUUGAAGGCAAAGCUGAGCAUGCAUAUCUACACACAAGUGCAGAUGUGAGCAGCAGGACCACGUUCAACACAGUUGUUUCAUUGUAUGCUGAGGCUCAUCUGUUUACAACGUGUGCAACUGAGAGAGAUGAGGUGUGGGGGAGAGGGGAAGGAAGCCUCUGCGGCCCUCGAGGGCUUUAUGAAACAUCUCUCUGUAUCCUAAGGUGCCCCAAAAUGCUUUUUCUCACACAUGAAUUGGUCUGUGUGGGUUUUUUUUUUUUUUGCCCACCUGCUAUUACAUUAGUGUUUUUUUUUAAGAGUUUUUAGGUUUCUGAGCAAAGUAAUGCUUUGGUGCUGCAGAGAGUAUUCAGUUCUGAGUUCAGCUGCCGUGUUCUGAUCUGUCUUCUUUCUGGCUGCUUUCCUGUACCUGUUCCCUUCAUGCACAGCUCAUGGCAAAGGGUCCCAGCACCUUUCUGGCCUCAGUGGAGCUCUGCUUGAGCACAAGGAACUCUAUCAUAGCACAGAUGCAGAGCUUAUGAUGCACAGGGAAAAGUGCAGCUGGUGAUUGCACUCUGCUGACAGCUGGAAAUCAUCCAGCAUUGUCACUUUGGUGAGGUUGGAGUUUUGGGGCUCCUGUAUGGAUCAUUUUCCAGCUCUAAAAUGGGCUGAACACUGGCAUAACACUGCUGAGGAGCAUCAUAGCAGAAUGCUAUUUUGAUUGUGGAGCAAAGUGGCAGAAUAUAAAGCAUUGAUGUACUUGUAUUGUUUGCCUGUUAGUCAGCUGGGAGCAAGGCUAGUCAAUACUUUUAGUAUGAAAGUAAAUAUUGGAGCGUGAAUUUAGCAAGAGACAGAAAUUGUGACAGGUACUUGUUCCUUCCUGCAAACUUUAGAUAUGUAAUGAACUCGUUAAGUGCAAACAGACCAUCAAACAGCCCAAACCAUCCCUGGUUAGAAGAAGAGGGCUCUUUGAAAUAUCUAACUGUAAAAUCAAGGCAGAGAAUGAGCUGUGCUUUGUCCCUUGGUAACCAGUUUCAACAGCAUAGCAGUUGUGCUGGAUAUAGCUUUAUGCAGACAAGUUCUUCUGCAAAGCUUUGUUUUUCUUUAUCUCUGAGGCUGCUGCGCUUAGAAUCCACUCGUUUCAGCCGUUCAGAACCUAAAUGUAAGCUUGAAAAGCUCCACUUGCUUUUGUACAGCCAAAGCAAGGGCAACAAUAGCAAAAACCCUUUUGAAAGGUAGGUUAGAGAUGCUUGUGACCUGAUUGCACUACUUAAAAUGGGGACUGUUGGGCUUUUUUUCUAUGCUAAUUCUAGGUAAAACUGUUACCUUUGCUUCCCUACACAGGGAACUUAACUGAUCUUUUUUCCUUGUACUGAGUCCUGAAGCUCUCACUAACAACGUUCAGUCACUGGAGCAGUGUAAUGGGGUUAGCAACCACCCCCUUUGCCCUAACUGCACACUUACCAUUUGGAUUCUUGUCUCUGGCCUUCCUCUGCAGCUGGUGCAGAUGAAUAAGCACCUCCCAGGGUGACAAAUAUGACCUGCCUUUAAUGCUUGCCUUAGGGUAAUAUUAAUUCCUCCCUCCAGCCCCCCAGCAGUGGUGUCAAGUUAUUUUUCCCCCAAUGACUAUAAAUACAAUCUGGAGCUGAGUGCAUUGCCCUUAAAUUUCUGUCACAAACAGCACUAAAUGUGUGGCUCAAAAGAAAAGUCAUCCUGGUAGCUGAGAGCACUGCUUGCAGGUGUAGAGGAGCUGCUGGGUGGUGGCUGAACUGGUGAUUGAGCACCUGGAGAAGGGCAGCCCAGGGAGCUCAGGCCAAGUGCUUACACCUGUGCUGCCCACCUGGGCAGAAGGGGUGGAGCCUCCGGGCUCAUAUAAAGGCCAACCACUGCAGGGAGAGCAUCCCUUGGGGCUGGGCUGCUGUGGGGGAGGAGUGCUGCGUGGCUGGAGGUCCUGUUCAUCUGCUGGGUGAGUUCAACAUUUCUUUCUGUGUGUGGCUGUUGGCCUCCCUGCGAGUGCAUUGCCUGUGUUGCAGGA